UCACUUAAUACACCUUAAGUUUUGAAUCAAAAUUCCUUGAUUUUUGUGCUACCACAUCAGAAUCAUACAUGCUCCAAACCCGAAACAAUCCCUGAUUCUUUUCUUUGCUAAAACAUUUCAACCUUAAACACCUCUUGUACCGCUGUUACUCCUAACAUAACACGCCACCCAACAAUUCCGCUGGACAGACUUUCGACACAACCUUGAUUCAACCAUCAUAUUCUAACAGAAUAGAACUAGCACAAAAAUUUCUCUUGAAUCAAUCUGCAAGAAACUUCCAAGUUACUCAUGCUCCAUUUUCUUGAACCAUGCCUGACUUAUCAAGACCAGUUUGAGUACCCUGCCCUUGAACAUCACUUUACACUGUUUUGACCAAGAGAGCAUGCCUC
Molecule: long non-coding RNA, 389 nt
Filed under: Brassica napus (rape)
Lineage: Eukaryota; Viridiplantae; Streptophyta; Magnoliopsida; Brassicales; Brassicaceae
Description: long non-coding RNA (BNAP_LNC019491)
Source: RNAcentral